This 774-nucleotide ribosomal RNA is filed under the name uncultured Neocallimastigales. Its description in RNAcentral is "partial large subunit ribosomal RNA". It matches the Rfam family "Eukaryotic large subunit ribosomal RNA", at positions 22 to 635 of the family's 3401-position model. Lineage: Eukaryota; Fungi; Neocallimastigomycota; Neocallimastigomycetes; Neocallimastigales. The record is from RNAcentral.
GUACACGCUGUGACUAGCAUAUCAAUAAGCGGAGGAAAAGAAACUAACAAGGAUUCCCCUAGUAACGGCGAGUGAAGCGGGAAGAGCUCAAAUUUGAAAUCUUAAAGGUUUUCCCUUGACGAAUUGUAGUUUAAAGAAGUGUUUUCUGUUGAAGUUUUGGUAAAAGUUCUUUGGAAUAGGACAUCAUAGAGGGUGAGAAUCCCGUAUUUGACCUUUACUUUCAACUUUGUGAUACACUUUCAAAGAGUCGGAUUGUUUGGGAAUGCAGUCCAAAAUGGGUGGUAAAUUUCAUCUAAAGCUAAAUAUUGGCGAGAGACCGAUAGCGAACAAGUACCGUGAGGGAAAGAUGAAUAGAACUUUGAAAAGAGAGUUAAACAGUACGUGAAAUUGUCAAAAGGGAAGCGUUUGACACCAGUGUUGUUUUUCUGAAAAUCAAUUAAAGAACUGUUUAUGCUAAGCUGUUUAGACUUUAUCAGCUAUCUGUUUAGUUUUGAGCUUUUCUUUAAUGCACUUUUCAGUUAACAAGUCAACAUCAAUUUCUUUUGCUGUAAAAAAGCUUGAGGAAGGUGGCUUGAGAUUCGUCUUAAGUGUUUAUAGCCUCUUGCCUAUGCAGUCGGAGAGAUUGAGGUCUGCAGCGCAGAUCCUUCGGGGCUAAAUGCAUUUGUGCUAAGUUAUAGCAUUUUAUAGACAACUUGUUGACUAUGAUUUGUCUUGUAGCUUACUCGCUUAUGUUAUUUUACCUACGCUUAGGAUGUUGAAGAUGUAGCACAUCAU